Molecule: long non-coding RNA, 2760 nt
Organism: Lotus japonicus
Lineage: Eukaryota; Viridiplantae; Streptophyta; Magnoliopsida; Fabales; Fabaceae
Exons: 5
Source: RefSeq, a predicted model, not a curated record
GUUUUGACACUUGGCAUCCAUUGAGGGAGGUUUCAACAUUUUUUGUAAGAUUAAAAAAAAUCAAAAAGAAAAUAUUAUUACUACUUUUAGAAACUUGAGAGUGGCAUCUUUGCUAAUUGUAUUUUUAUUGAAGGGUAGCCAUGUAAUAGCACCUGAAAUUUACUUUAUUUUCGAAUUAUUUUUAACCUUUAAUCUGAGUAACAUUAAUUAUUAAUUCACAUUAACUAUCCACUACCUAUUUCUAAGCCAAUCACUAUUUAACAACUUAAACCAUUUUAAAAAUUUGUUCACAAUCUAUUUAAUGUCACCAUGACCUACUCAAUUCACGUUCAAAAAAAUCUACUCAAUUCAAUUCAAUGUACCUUGCAGAUUGAAACAAGUGGGUUAUCCCAAAUUUUAAAUAAACAUUUAAAACUGAAUUUGAAUUAAAAAGAAAUUAAGAGAGCCCAAUUUUUCGAAGCCUUUUCAGAUUUUAAUUCUAUUGAACAAAAAACCCUGACUUUGCAUAGCACGCCUCUGUCUUUUCCCCUCCCAAGCCAUUGUUGGAAACGUAAACCUCUUUAUUCUUUUUGAAAAGGAACUUCCAACGCAAAUCUCAAGCUUCCAUACCCUGCUUGACCCAUUAGUUAGCAUAAAGCCUGGAGCUCUUCCACCGAAACUGCAUCACAAUUUUGCUAGAAGAUGUAGAAGACGAAGUGCUUUCGUUUCUGCUCUCUCACUCUCUGAUGCUGUCGUUUCUGCAUCACAUUUUUUCUCAAUUUUUUGUGUCUCAUUUGAUUUCAUAGGUUCGCUGCAGUCUCUUGAAUAAUAUAGUGGAGCAACUACCCAUCUAUCUGCAGAACAAUAUAUGUGAAAUGAAUCCAGAUGCAAAUGAGAUUGGAAAAGAAGAACAAUGAGAAUCAUGUCUAAGGGAGAUUUUGAUAAAUUCCAUUUUCAUAAUUUAUGUCAUCCCCCAUCAUAUGCUUUGUGGCUUGAGAAUUCGCCAUUCUGCAGUGAUGGUUGGAAACAUUAGCUGUAUAUUACGCAUGGAACACACCCCUGAGGAUGCUUUUCAUGGUUUCUAGAUUGAAUAAUCUCUUGAAGAGCUUGCACCUGCUUGCAUCUUGGAACUCCUGAGCAUGUCAAAUACCCCUGAAAAUUUUGAUAGGAGACGUGGAGCAAUAGCAGCUUUGUGAGAACUGCUUAGACAGGGUCUUGAUGUUGGAGCUUCAUGCCAAGUACAUGACUGGCCUUCCUUUCUAAGCCAAGCAUUGGGAAGUUUGCUGGCUAAUGAGAUAGGUUAUCUCCUUCCUUGGAAUAUCUUAGCUGUGAUGCGAAAGAAUAAGUAGACAAUUGAAUCACAGAAUUUAAGAGUAAUACUAUAUUCAAGUUGUUUCUAUAUAAUUUUUACAGCUCAUUUGGCACUUCGAUUUUCCAGCAAGCAAAAAGAAUUGGUAACACCCUCUUCAAAGCUGAAGCAUUUUAAUAUUUGUUACAAUCCAUAUUGUUUUUUAUUUGCUUACAUUCUCAAACAAUGGGUUUCCUAAUUUCACCCUGAUACCCAGUAUUGUUAUUUAUAUGAUGCAGAUUAACAAAGCAAAAGACAUAUCUGAUUGUUUGAUGGCUUCAGAUGGCUUUGAUCUGAAAUUUGAGGAAGCUUUCUGCUUAUUCCUUCUUGGAAUGGGCACAAAGGCUGAGGCGGUUGAAAAGCUUUAGCAGCUUGAGCUGAACUCAAAUCCAAAGCAUAACUCUGUCUUGGGGAAGGCAAUAAUUGAUGCUUCUGAUGCUAACCCAUCUUUGCUAUUUCUCUUAUUAUCAUGUUCACGCAGCUGAAGAUGACAGUGGAAUUGAACCUGCUAAUACAAUGCAAUUCAACUUGGAGACCAUAAGAAAGGGUACAAAUAACUUUUCCGACACAAAUAUUCUAGGACAAAGGAUUUGGACCUGUUUACAAGGGUAAGCAUUCCAAUGGAUUAGAGGUUAUUUACAAAUUCAGGACAAGGGGAUGAGGAAUUCAAGAACGAGGUGUAGUUGUUGGCCAAGCUACAACACAUAAAUUUAGUCAGGCUACUUGGUUUCAGUUUGGAAAGAGUAGAGAAGUUACUGGUCUAUGAGUUUGUUCCCAAUAAAAGCCUUUACUACUUUAUUUUUGGUGAGAACUUUUCUUGAUGUGAUGGCAGUGGCCCCUUCACUGAUAAUUCAGUUCUGCUGAAUGGUAAGGCGUACAGUCUGCACAGGCUUGACAUGAUUUGAUAACGUGAAGAGCUGCUUUGAAACUACAUCUAGGAAAUUGGAUUUCUUCAACGAAAUAGUAGAAGGAAGGAAGGAACAGCUUUUGGACAUAUGCCAUCAUAGGGAGAAAUAAUUUUGGAUAGAGAAAAUGAACUAGAAAAAUAAUGUUAAGAAAUGAAGCAUUGUCAUCUCUUUUUUAAUGCAUUAAUAUUCAUCUAGGAAACUCGAUUUCUUCAACGAAAUAGUAGAAGGAAGGAUGAGCUUUUGGACAUAUGCAAUCAUAGGGAGAAAUAAUUUUGGAUAGAGAAAAUGAAGUAGAAAAAUAAUGUUAAGAAAUGAAGCAUUGUCACUUCUUUUUUAAUGCAUUUAUAUUCAAUGAUGCAUAUUAAUAAUUUUGAAGAAGAAUUUUGAAGGAAAGUGGUAUGACAUUAAUAACGGCUGAAGAUUUAGAUGAAGCAGCUCACAAAGCAGUGAAAGCCAUUAACAAAUGAAGGGUUACUUCUGUUCAAAUUCCAAAAUCACUUUAAUUACACCAUUAUUUUUUGUGUU